Molecule: long non-coding RNA, 890 nt
Organism: Alexandromys fortis (reed vole)
Lineage: Eukaryota; Metazoa; Chordata; Mammalia; Rodentia; Cricetidae
Exons: 3
Source: RefSeq, a predicted model, not a curated record
AGAAAAGAAGCCAGGCACGACUGCACGAUUCUAUAACCCAGCUGCAGGAAGGACUGAGCCUGGAGGUUCAAGAUCUUGACGAAGAUCAGCCUGAGAAGCAAGGGCAUUAACUGAUCUGGAAGAUGAACAGCAACAAAAGUCGUCCUUAUUAUUUCAAAAUGGGAUUGACAACCGGUUAAAUUUCUACCUAUCACUCUAAGAUCAAGAGAGCGAAUGUUAAUGGCUCUGGUUAACUAUCCAGUGUUGAUUCGGUUCCAGUUUAUGGACCCCGGUUUUCAAACAGGCCAGGAAUCAAUUUUGGCCUUGGUUUAUAGAACUGUCCUUUGCCUCCAUAUAUCUAUGGAGCUCAUGGGUAUAAGAAGACUUGGAACAAGAAGACUCGGAACACCACAGACAAGCAGUCUUCAAUUGGGCAGGAACAGAAUGAAACCACCUCAGCAUUAACAUCAACCUCAAGUACCAAUGCACUCUUGAACCAAAAACCCCUGCUCAUAGUCAACAGGGAAAAAGUGCUGGGAAUGGUGUGGCAUAUAUUGCAAUCCUAGUAGCCAACCUUCAAAGAUUUGGGGCAGGAAGAUCAAGGAGUUCAAGGCCAAUGAGCUACAAAGUGAAGCCUUGUCAGACAAAAACAUUUUUUUUAUUGUUUGUUGUUGUUUUGUUUUGGUGAAAAUAGACAGAGAAGCACAAGUCAUUCUUCCCAUACACUCUGGGUUAACACCUUUAAUUAACCUUUUAUUGCCAUAGAACUCCAAUGUAAGUGAUUAAUUGUUAAUUAUACAGCUAUGUUAUGUGUGUAUGUGUCUGUAUCCUGCAAAUGUAUCUGUGUAUUCAUACAUUUAUACUCUAAAUCACACACAUAUAUAUUCAUGAGUUCAUGGUUGGGGAAAUGG